Diabrotica virgifera virgifera (western corn rootworm) is the source of this 1518-nucleotide long non-coding RNA. RefSeq lists it as uncharacterized. Lineage: Eukaryota; Metazoa; Arthropoda; Insecta; Coleoptera; Chrysomelidae. The record is from RefSeq and is a predicted model, not a curated record. The transcript has 3 exons.
AUAGCCUUCCCUAACAACACACAACAUUCCAGGAAUGUACUACCAAAGUUCUAUCAAUAUUUGAAUGUCCUGGACAUUUAGGGAACAUUCGGUGAACAUCUGUUUAAAUUAUUCCUGGAAUGUUACCAUAAGACAUUCUGUGAACAUACUACCAAUGUUCCUAUAUUUUAAGUUGCGAAAUAAUACAUACGUGUAACAGAUUCAGAUACAACAUUACUUAUAACAUACCAGACAAACUAAGUGACAUUUUAGGCCUACAGUGUCAAAUUUAAAGAGUUUCCCAAGUUCAAUUAAUACAAUAUUAUAAACAUACAAAUGUAAUAAAAAUUAUUGUUCGCGAAUAUUCAAUUUGGAAUGCGAUUUUGUUAAUAAAAAAAUACUUAUAACUUAUGCAAAACCCAAGAGAGGCAUUAUUUAUAUUUAUUUCUUUUGCGUUCAUUUUCAAAUUCGCCGUGCAUAUAUUUUUGUGCAUGGCGCUUGAGAGGGCAUCACGUGACUAAAAACGACCAACCAACGACCUCGCUUCGGCCAUCUUGGCAUCUUCAUUUUCAUUUCAUCUUGUCCACCUUGCCCGGCCUUGCCUUGCCGUGGAUAGUUGUAUUAUUUGUGCUUUUUAAGAAUAUUUUUUUAAUUCGGAUACUUUUAUAAUAGCUUUAAUAGUAUUAUUAACAUAGUGCAUAAAAUGGUGUCCUGUUUUUGACGCAGUUGGAGUAGCAGAAACAAAUGUAGAUAAAAAAAUCUGCAGGAAUAACGUUUCAAUUAUGACAGAAGCUGAAACAAAUGACUGUGAAUUAGUGUGAAUGAAAAGCCCUAUUAAAAGCUUUCCAGAAGAUCCUGCGAAGAAGACAUGAAGUAUAGAUCAGAUUUGUUAAUAGAGGAGUAUGUUCAAAACACUUUUUAGAAAAAGAUAUUGACAGAACUUCACUUUCAUCUGUUCGUUUGAGAGACUGUGCUGUUCCAAUAGCUUAUGUCACACAGAAUCAGCUGAGAGAAGUGGUCUACAAAAAACCAGAAAGGAAACGGAAUAUGUGGCUACGAAAAGCAAAAGAAAGGUUUACAAAGCAAAUGUGACACAUUUUUUUAUAAUAUUUAGGAAUGUCAGUAAAUUACAUUAAAAAAUGUAUGUAAAGAUUUUUUGCAAUAAAAAUGUUUAUAUUUAUCAAGGAUGUAUUAUUUGGUAUGGCCACAUAUCGUCAGUGAUGUGACAAUACCUCCUAUCUGUUUUUUUCAAGAGAUUUGUAAGAUAGACUAAAAACUUGUUUCGGCCACCUCCUGUUUUCAUAUAUUUUUUGACUUGUUUUGCAGUAAAUUCAACUAUCUAUUUACUACAAAAAAAGUCAGAAUACGUACGAAAACAGAAAGUGACCUUAAAAAAUGUUUUUCGUCUCCUGCAAACCUCAUGAAAAAACAUAUAGGAGGUAUUGUCACAUUACUGACGAUAUAUUUCAGUGAAUGUCUAAAAAAUAUACUGUGAAUGUUCAAAGAACGUUCGUAGACAUUCAUGGAAUGUUCUAACAA